CAGGGAAGCGGAGCGGGACCGCCGUGUUCCCCUCGAUUUGCACCGUCACUCGGGCCGUUGGGAAGGCAGAGGGGAGGCGCUCCGCGUGCCUCCGUGUACCUGGAUCUGAGUGCAGAAGUGUGUAUGAAUGCCUGUGCCGCUGUGUUGGUAAACUUCAUGGGAUGGUAACUUGACUAAAGACAAUCUGGAGAAGCGGGGAGUGAGGCGGUGUAUAUAUGAGGAGUUUGUCGGUGUAUGUGUGCGUGUGUUUAGGUGUAAGAACACACCUCCGUUCAAGGGGCUUUGGAGUGUUUGCCGGUGCGACAGCGGAGGAAGAGCAGACCCUUUGAGGCUGCCUGUAUCCUGCUGCUCUGUUAGCGUCUGAGUCACUGGGUUAGUGGUUGUCGAAGUGUCGCCCAGAUCAACUGUAGAUCUCCCAGCCCCGCGAGCCCAGCCGUGGGCCCCGCGUCGCCGCAGCC
Molecule: long non-coding RNA, 458 nt
Organism: Odocoileus virginianus texanus
Lineage: Eukaryota; Metazoa; Chordata; Mammalia; Artiodactyla; Cervidae
Source: RefSeq, a predicted model, not a curated record